UAUCGGAACGUGCCCUGGAGUGGGGGAUAACGCAGCGAAAGUUGCGCUAAUACCGCAUACGAUCUAAGGAUGAAAGCGGGGGAUUCGCAAGAACCUCGUGCUCCUGGAGCGGCCGAUAUCUGAUUAGCUAGUUGGUGGGGUAAAGGCCUACCAAGGCAUCGAUCAGUAGCUGGUCUGAGAGGACGACCAGCCACACUGGAACUGAGACACGGUCCAG
Molecule: ribosomal RNA, 217 nt
Filed under: uncultured bacterium
Lineage: Bacteria
Description: partial 16S ribosomal RNA
Rfam family: Bacterial small subunit ribosomal RNA
Source: RNAcentral